Molecule: long non-coding RNA, 1513 nt
Filed under: Sus scrofa (pig)
Lineage: Eukaryota; Metazoa; Chordata; Mammalia; Artiodactyla; Suidae
Description: lncRNA (ENSSSCG00040074884.1)
Source: RNAcentral
UUUUUUCUUUUCUUUUCUUUUUUCUUUUUUCUUUUUUUUUUUUUUCUUUCUUUGGUCUUGCUUGCAGCCUGUGGAAGUUUCUGGGCCAAGAAUGGAACCUGUGCCACAGCAGUGACCCAGACCACUGCAGUGAUGACACCAGAUCCUUAACCUACUGCACCCCAAGGGAGCUUCCUAGCAGUCACUGUUAAACAGAGGGAUACGUUUGCUCUUGAAGGGAACAGUGUGAAGAGAUGAUGUGCCUUACAGAUGUCCUGACAGCACGCAGGUGCGUCCAGGUGUGACUGUCCCCAAGAGUGGAACCGGGUGUCCUCGCCAGUCAAUGAGAAGGACGAGGCCCAGCAGCUUUGUAAUUUGGUCUUUGGUUUGUUACACCAGAACCCAGACAGGGUGACGCUUCCUCCGGGCAGUGUCCCCACGUGGCAUGGUACAUCCCAUUGCUGUGGCUGGGCCACUGAGCGACAGCAGCGCCGAGAUCCUCAGAGGUCGGAGGAAAUCUAGGCCCAUCCUGUGUCCCGAGGGAAGGGAGCUUACCUGGUGAGGAGGGGACGUGGAGAAUGGGUUGUGGCAGGAGGGGUCUGCGACCUUGCUUGUUUGGGCCGCACUGAGAGGAAGCCAGGUGUACAGGGAUGGCUCUAGGGAACAGAACAGGUGGCAGAAUGGGCAUCACGAGGAGGCCUGGGUGAGCCGGAAAUAAAGGGUUCUGCGAGGUUCCCCCAUGGCGAAGCGGGUUAGGGAUCCGUCGUUGCUGCUGCUGCUGUGGCACGGGCUGCAGUUGUGUCACGGGUUCACUUCCCGGCCCAGGAACUUCCAUAUGUCACAGGUGCGGCAAAAAAAAAAGAAAAAAGGACUCUUCCAGGAAGUGAUCCUCUCCCCUCCCCACAGGUCACUGCAGUGGGGCCCGCGGGGCCGGGAGAGGCUGGCGCAAGCGUCUUAGGAGUCACUCCGAACAGGCAGCAGAGUCCCAUGUGAAAGGGAAUUGGGGGCAGUUCCCAUUGUGGCACAGUGGGAACAAAUCCAACCGGGAUCCGUGAGGAUACAGGUUCAGUCCUUGGCCUCGAUCCGUGAGUUGGGGAUCCGGCAUUGCCGUGAGCUGUGGUAUAGGUCGAAGAUGUGCCUCGGAUCCCAAAUUGCUCUGGUUUUCAUGUAUGCCGGCAGCUGUAGCUCCCAUUCGACUCCCAGCCUAUUUUGGGUGUGUGUGGCCCAAAACAGCAAAAGGAAAAAAGAAGCUGAAUUGUGGAGUUUCCAUUGUGGCUGAGCAGGUUAGGAACCCACCAUGGGAGUUCCCAUUGCGGGGCAUGGAAGCAAAUCCAACUAGGAACCAAGAUGUGGUGGGUUUAACCGCUGGCCUCGCUCAGUGGAUUAAAGAUCCAGCAUUGCUGUGAGCUGGCGUGUAGGUUGCAGACAGCUUGGAUCCCCAGUGCCAUGGCUGUGGUGUAGGCUGGCAGCUGGAGCUCUGAUUUGACCCCUAGCCUGGGAACCUCCAUGUACUGCAGAUGUGACCCGAAAAAAA